This 775-nucleotide transfer RNA is filed under the name uncultured cyanobacterium. RNAcentral's name for it is "partial 16S-23S ribosomal RNA intergenic spacer". The stretch from base 268 to 340 matches the Rfam family "tRNA". Lineage: Bacteria; Bacillati; Cyanobacteriota. The record is from RNAcentral.
CAGGGAGGCAACACAAUGAUUUUGACGCCUUAGUGCUUUUAUUCUUAGGCCAAAAUCCUGUCACCUUAGGUCGAUCGGUACCUCAGCUUUGAAGUUAAGGAUCAGCAGCAAUGUUGAUUGCUUGAUGGAGAUUUUCAGUUCCUAAACUUUGUCUAGGUCACACCCCAAAAGGGAUGAGACUCCUGGGCCAUUAGCUCAGGUGGUUAGAGCGCACCCCUGAUAAGGGUGAGGUCCCUGGUUCAAGUCCAGGAUGGCCCAUUCGGUGUUGGGGGUUUAGCUCAGUUGGUAGAGCGCCUGCUUUGCAAGCAGGAUGUCAGGAGUUCGAGUCUCCUAACCUCCACUGACCGAAUUUAAUUCCCAUCUCCAAUUCAUUUGGAGUUGAGCUCGAUUGGAGUGUGAUUUAGAUUUGGCCGCUGGAUGACCCCAGCUUCCUGUCAUUCCAAGUUUUAGGUUAAAACCUUGAAUUUGGUUGAUAAGACGCUGGGCUCGGAUCAAAUGAUCAAGGAAUUGAUGAUUUGAUUUGAAGUUCUAGCAGAACCUUGACAACUGCAUAGGUGAGUCUGGAAAAAACAAAGCAUCUUACAGAUGCAUUGUUUUGAAUCUGAUCUUCUGAAAGGGAGAUUGGAUCUAGAACAAUGAAAAUUCUUUUGAGCAAGAGCCGAGACUCUUGGAUGUUCUUUGAUUCGUGUCGAGCGAAUUAGAGUUUGAUCUUGUUUUUAGCAAUAAAAACUUGAGAAUCUGCUUUCAACGGCGGUAAGCGUUCAGGAGGUUAAUU